CAGUGUCAUCAUUUUGAGAUCUAUCCUUACCGUUUUAUUUCAGUGGACUUACAGAUGCUUCUUGAUUUAUGAUGGCAUUGUCCCAAUAAACCUGUCGUAAGCUGAAAUAUCAUAAGUUAAAAAAAUGCACUUAAGACCCCUAACCUACUGAACACCAAAGCUUAGCCUGGCCUACGUUAAACAUGCUCAGAACACAUACAUUAGUCUACAGUUGGGCAAAAUUAUCAAGCAACAUGGUGCACUGGAGAGUAUUCAUUGUUUACCUUUGUGAUUGUGUGGCUGACUGGGAGCUGUGCUCAUAGCUACUGACCAUCAUCUUGAGAGAGCAUCAUACCACAUAUCACCAGCCCAGGUAAAGAGCAAAAUUCCAAAUUUGAAGUGUGGUUUUUACAGAAUGUAUAUCAGUUUUGAACCAUUAUAAAGUCAAAAAAUUAUGAAUCAAACCAUCAUAAGAUUGGCACUGUUCAUAUAUACCUAGAUAAAUACAUGGUGAUUUUUCUAACUUCUGAUAUUUACAGAGGCAAUUGCCACUGGGUGAAAGCUCAAUAUCACGUACUCUAUUUUGCAGAAUGAAGGAAAAAAUUCAUUGUCAAUUUGCAUUGCCAGAAUGGGAUACUGAAACCGAGACCUAAUUGCAUAAUGGUUAAGAGCUUGACUUCUGUAGUAAUAAAAUGUAACAUUUAUAAAGUAUUUUCUCUGUUCUAAGCACUUUCUAUGUACAGUACUAGCUGUCUUAGUUUGUUUGCUGCUGCUAUAAAAGAUAUGCCCACAGACUAGGUAAUUUAUGAAGAACAGAGAUUUGUUUAGCUCAUGGUUCUGGAGGCUGGGAAGUCAAAGAGCAUGGUACAGGCAUCUGGAGAGGCACAUCGAAAAGGUGGGUGGAUGGGUGAAAGGUGGAAGUGAGCACAGGAGACAGAGAGGGAAUGUAGGCUGAACUGAAUCCUUUUAUUAGGAACACACUCCUGUCAUGAUGGCAUUAAUCCCUUAAUGAGAGCAAAGACCUCAUGAUCUAAUCAUCUCUUAAAGGCCCCACCUCUAAAUACCAUUACAUUAGCAAUUCAAUUUCAACAUGAGUUUUGGAGGGGAUAUUUAAAGCAUAAUAUUAUCCAUCUAUUUUUUGUAACAAGCAGUGAGGCGGGAGUGAUGACUAUUGUUUCCAUCUUACAGAUGAGGACAUGGAGCAUAAAGAGAUCAAGUAACUUGCUCAAGAUCACGUAGCUACUAAGCAGAAGAGCUGGGAUGUCAGCAUGGCUGCCUGUCAGGGCCGUGCUCUUAACUGCUGUGGUACACUGGCUUUCCAUGGCUAGAAUAUGAGCUUCAUGAUGGGGAGGAGUGCUGUUCACUGUUCCAUUCCCAGGGUCUAACACAGAUGCUCAAUGAAUACUUAUUUUAUUUUAGAGAUGGAGUUUCACUCUUGUCGCCCAGGCUGGAGUGCAAUGGCACGACCUUGGCUCACUGCAACCUCCACCUCCCAGAUUCAAGCGAUUCUCCCACCUCAGCCUCCUGAGUAGCUGGGAUUACAUGCAUGUGCCACCACGCCUGGCUAAUUUUGUAUUUCUAGUAGAGAUGGGGUUUCACCAUGUUGGCCAGGCUGGUCUUGAACUCCUGACCCUAGGUGAUCCACCCGCCUUGGCCUCCCAAAGUGUUGGGACCACAGGCACAAGCGACUGUGCCUGGCCAAUAAAUACUUAUUGAGUAGAGGAAUCAGGUUUGAAUACUGGUCUGUCUCUUAAGAGAUGUAAGAGCUUAGGGACUUUUAAAAACUACUCUGAGUAACUUGCUCAAUCCAGGGGCAAGCUCUGUCAUCUUUCCCUUCAAAAGAUAUUUUGAAUCCACUUCUCACCAUGCCCACCACUGUUGUCUUGGGCCAAGCUACCAUCAUUCCUCACCAGGACUUUUGCUGUGACCUCUUACAAGUAGUUUUUCUAUUUCGACACUUGCUGUAGCUAUCUUUAUCCAGCAGUCAGGUGAUCUCGUAGAACAUAACACAGACCAGAUCUCUCCUGUACUCAAAUCUUCCGAUAAUUUCUUAUCACACUUGGAAUAACACACAGGCUUGCAGGGUCUUACAUGGCCCCAGCUCUAUCUUCCCAAUCCCCCCGACUCCUUUGCUCAUGUUCUUCAGUGACACAGGGCUUUUCCUUGAACACUGUCUACCUUGGUCUCAGAGCCUUUGCACACUGUAUACAUUGACGUAUGUUGCUGUGAGUGUGAAGGCAGUGGCAAAGCCCACACUAGGCUGUUAACACAAGUAACUGGGUUGAAGUGGAGAGGAGUAGGGAGGAUUAUCAAUGUUUUCUCCACAGGCCAAUGUGUUUUACAAAUCAUGCCUUAAUUUUGUAGUUUUAAAAAGGAAUUUAAUAAAGAAAGGGGAUAAGCCCUUUUAAUAGCUUUAUCCUCCCUUAACUAUGAGCACACAUCUCUUCCUCCUUUGUAGGCAAGCUCCUGGCUUUCUGUCUUAUCUCUCAGUCACCCCAAAGCCCAUGGCAGCCUGGUUUCUAAGCCCCUCUGCUGCCCUUGCAGCCUGACCACCAACCUCUUUGUUGAUAAGACCAACCACCCUUUUCCGGUUAGCUUUCCAGACUUCUCAGCUGAAUUAAAUACUGUUGACCGCUCUAUUCUUCUUUUUAUUUUUUAUUUUUUAAAUUUUAAAUGUGGCAAAAUACACAUAACAAAAUUUACCAUUCUACCAAUUUUUUAAGUAUAUAGUACAGUAGUGUUAAGUACAUUCACAUUGUUGUACAACCAUCUCCACCAUCCAUCUCUAGAACUCUUUUCAUCUUGCAAAACGGAAACUCUGUCCCUAAUAAACAACGACUUCCCAUUCUCCCUCCUCCCAGCCCCUGGAAACCACCAUUCUUUUUUCUGUCUCUGAUAUAGCUUGAAUAUUUAUUCCUGCCCAAAUCUCACGUUGAAUUGUAAUCCCCAAAUGCUGCAGGUGGGGCCUGGUAGGAGGUGAUAGGAUCAUGGGGGUGGAUCUUUUAUGAAUGGCGUGGGUCAUCCUUUUGGUGAUGAGUGGGCUCUUGCUCUGAGUUCACAUGAGAUCUGAUUGUUUAAAAGUGUGUGGCUCCUCCCCCGCCACUCUUUCUCUCACUUGCUCCAGCCUUCGCCAUGUGCCAUGCCUGCUCCCCACUUGCCUUCUGUCACGAUCGGAAGCUUCCUGAGGCCUCCCUAGAAGCCGAGCAGAUGCAGCCCCACGCUUCGUGUCCGGCCUGCAGAACUCAAUGAUAUGAGGUUUGUACUAUUAUUAUCUUCAUUUUACACAGAAGGAAACCGAAGCACAGCAUGACUAGUGAACUCAGCCCAAUUCACACAGAAGGCGAGAGCUGAGAUUGAAACUCAGGCAGUCUGUGUGCAGGGCCUCUGUUCUUCACCAGCAAGUUCUUCUUUCACUUGGAGUUCAUAUCUACAGCCCAGUGUUCUUUCUCACCUGCAGGAGACCGUAUCGGCCACACUCUAAUAGAUGCCAGGGAGCUCCCCGCAGGGCUGUUGUCAACAAAAGGUUCUAACCUGUGCUUACUAAAUAAGACUCCUAAAUGAUAUUUUUUGUGAAGUUAUUGUAUGUUAUGGGUUGAAUUGUGUCUUCUGCAAAAGAUAUAUUGAAUUCCUAACCCACAGCUCCUCAGAAUCUGGUCUUAUUUGGAAAUAGACUAAUUGCAGAUGUAAUUAGCUAGAGACUAUACUAGUGUAUAGGGUAGGCCCCUAAUCUGAUAUGACUGUUGUCCUUAUAGAAACACAGCCAUGUGAAGAUGAAGGCAGAGACUGGAAAAAGUGUGAAGGCAGAGUUUAUCCUGAUUGGAUUAGGAAUAAAUAGAGUCCUAUAAACCAAGGAAUGUCAAGGAUUGCUGGCCAUCCCUGGAAGCUAGGACGCUGGGACAGGUUCUCCCUCAGAGCCUCUGGAAGGAACUAACCCUGUAAAACACCUUGAUUUUGGAACUUUGGCCUUCAAAACUGAGGGAAUAAAUUUUUGGUAUUUUAAGCCACCCAGUUUGUGGUACAAGCAUACCUCAAAGACUUGCAAGUUCAGUGCCAUACCACCACAUUAAAGCAAAUAUUGCAAUAAAGUGAGUCAUACAAUUUUUUUGGUUUCCCAGUGCAUAUAACAGUUAUGUUUAUACUACGGUACAGUCUAUUAAAUGUGCAAUAGCAUUAUGUCUAAAAACAGUAUAUAUGUUAAUUAAGAGAUAUUUUAUUGCUAAAAAUGCUGAUCAUCAGAGCCUUCAGUGAGUCAUAACCUUUUUGCUAGUGGAGAGUCUUGCCUCAGUGUUCAUGGCUACUGACUGACGAGGGUGGUAGUGGCUGAAGACUGGGGUGGAUGUGGCAAUUUUUAAAAAUAAUGCAACAAUAAAGUUUGCUGCAUUGAAUGACUCUUCCUGUGAUAUUUCUCUGUGAUAUGCUGUAUUAGUUUAUC
Molecule: long non-coding RNA, 4411 nt
Filed under: Homo sapiens (human)
Lineage: Eukaryota; Metazoa; Chordata; Mammalia; Primates; Hominidae
Description: HSALNT0144041
Source: RNAcentral